Long non-coding RNA from Numida meleagris (helmeted guineafowl), 272 nucleotides. RefSeq lists it as uncharacterized. The transcript is spliced from 3 exons. NCBI's taxonomy places the organism in Eukaryota, Metazoa, Chordata, Aves, Galliformes, Numididae. The record is from RefSeq and is a predicted model, not a curated record.
GCCCGGUGGAGAAGCACAUGGUCCUCGUGCAGUUUACUGUGAACUCUUCAUCUCACUGCACUGAUAAGAGAAUAAGCUGGUCUAAAUCAGUUGGGAGACUUGAGACGAGGUGAACUUAUCUCCUAACCUCCUUCACCACAAAGCAUUUGAUUAAUUGGAGCAGCAUCUUUCCAGUGUCCUUCUUUCCACUAAGGAGUGACUAGCCAAACCCGCAUUGCUCUUUCAGAAGAUCAAAGGGACUGCUGCCCACCUAAUGGCAGGCCAGACAGGAU